RNAcentral lists this ribosomal RNA (413 nucleotides) under uncultured bacterium. RNAcentral describes it as "bacterial SSU rRNA". It matches the Rfam family "Bacterial small subunit ribosomal RNA", at positions 505 to 916 of the family's 1533-position model. The record is from RNAcentral.
GUGCCAGCAGCCGCGGUAAUACGGAGGGUGCGAGCGUUAAUCGGAAUUACUGGGCGUAAAGGGCGCGUAGGCGGUCGCGCAAGUCGGGUGUGAAAGCCCCGGGCUCAACCUGGGAAUUGCAUUCGAUACUGCGUAACUAGAGUCUGGUAGAGGGAAGCGGAAUUCCGCAUGUAGCGGUGAAAUGCGUAGAUAUGCGGAGGAACACCAGUGGCGAAGGCGGCUUCCUGGACCAAGACUGACGCUGAGGCGCGAAAGCGUGGGGAGCAAACAGGAUUAGAUACCCUGGUAGUCCACGCCCUAAACGAUGAGGACUAGACGUUGGGGGGAUAAAACCCUUUAGUGUCGCAGCUAACGCGUGAAGUCCUCCGCCUGGGGAGUACGGCCGCAAGGUUGAAACUUAAAUGAAUUGGCGG